RNAcentral lists this ribosomal RNA (253 nucleotides) under uncultured bacterium. Its description in RNAcentral is "partial 16S ribosomal RNA". It matches the Rfam family "Bacterial small subunit ribosomal RNA", at positions 524 to 776 of the family's 1533-position model. The record is from RNAcentral.
UACGGAGGGAGCUAGCGUUGUUCGGAAUUACUGGGCGUAAAGAGCGCGUAGGCGGUCUGUAAAGUUAGGAGUGAAAGCCCAAGGCUUAACCUUGGGACUGCUCUUAAAACUCACAGACUAGAGAUUGGUAGAGGAUGGUGGAAUUCCUAGUGUAGAGGUGAAAUUCGUAGAUAUCAGGAGGAACACCGGUGGCGAAGGCGGGUCUCUGGGCCGAUAUUGACGCUGAGGAGCGAAAGCGUGGGGAGCAAACAGG